CAGUAGGGAGGAAGGUAGUGUAGUUAACACCUGCAUUAUUUGACGUUACCUACAGAAGAAGCACCGGCUAACUCCGUGCCAGCAGCCGCGGUAAUACGGAGGGUGCGAGCGUUAAUCGGAAUUACUGGGCGUAAAAGCGCAUGCAGGCGGCCUGUUAAGUCAGAUGUGAAAAGCCCGGGCUUAAACCUCGGAAAUUGCAUUUGAAAAACUGGCAGGCUAGAGUCUUGUAGAGGGGGUAGAAUUUCAGGUGUAGCGGUGAAAAUGCGUAGAGAUCUGAAGGAAUACCAGUGGCGAAGGCGGCCCCCUGGACAAAGACUGACGCUCAGAUGCGAAAGCGUGGGGAGCAAACAGGAUUAGAUACCCUCGGUAG
RNAcentral lists this ribosomal RNA (370 nucleotides) under uncultured bacterium. Its description in RNAcentral is "bacterial SSU rRNA". It matches the Rfam family "Bacterial small subunit ribosomal RNA", at positions 434 to 793 of the family's 1533-position model. The record is from RNAcentral.